Bactrocera oleae (olive fruit fly) is the source of this 1832-nucleotide long non-coding RNA. RefSeq lists it as uncharacterized. NCBI's taxonomy places the organism in Eukaryota, Metazoa, Arthropoda, Insecta, Diptera, Tephritidae. The record is from RefSeq and is a predicted model, not a curated record.
CUUUAUAUUCUGAAGUGAAUUUUAUACUUUUCAAAUUAUUACUAGGGGAAACAGGAGGAAAAUUGUCGAAAAAAUUUAAAAGGGAAAAUCAAAAGAGACGUAUACGUGUACAGCAGCAACACAAACCACACCGAGGCGAAAUCUUAGUGAGAGCAAAGUGUUGCUGAGGGGUCGGCCGUGGUUUUGUCAGAACGCUUAUUGGAGGGGGAAUGUGCCCUGAUUGCACCACGGUUUAAAGCACGUUAUUGAAUGCCGAGUGUGAAUUGCCACAACUUUUUGCUGCAUUAGUUGUUGAUUCAAGGUAUGAUUGAACCAAAGGUACAACAACACAUAAAAACUUCUUUAUAUGUACAGUGCAGAACUAUUUUUCACCGUUUUGGUAAUUCGUUCAAUUGAAAAAAGCUUACAAACGUAAUAAAAUUCCUAUAGAUUGUUAUUGCCGGAUUAUGAAAUAAAAUCGUUCUUAUAGCCUGAUUGGUGAUACAUACUUGUACAUAGGCAUAUGGUAUAUGGGCAAGAUAAAGGCAUAAAAUUUUUAAAAUAUUUAUUGUAUAGCGAUCGAAAAACUUUCUAAGGCUAUUAUUUUAGAAAACAUAAAAGUUCAAAUUACAAUUAGGAGUAGUUGGAAGAGAAAUAAGGUCUUUCUUCCUCUUAAAUUGUAUCCUAAAAAUUGUGUACAAAAGGUACGAUGAUUUGGAAAUAUUGACGACGAUAUUUCAGAAAGACGCACAAAAUUUUAAGCAUUUCCUUACGUGGUACGAAUUUUAUUGAUAAGAUUUUAUAUCGGAUUUUCCAAUAGAGUGUUUACAAUUUAGUCAUGGAAAGAUAUCCGCACGAACAACGUUUACAAAUUAUUCAAUUUUAUGAACAAAAUAAUUGUUCUCCGAUUGCAACUUUUCAUGCGCUUUUCUUUGCAUAAUGUUCAAGUGCCAAUAAGACAAAGAACCGCUCGAAGUAAUGAAAAUACUGCUUCCGUUCAAGAAAGAUGUUCUCAAGAAUUGGGUCCGUCUCAAACCACAAACUGGCGGAUUUUGAGAAAGGAUUUGGCCUUGCAUCAGUAUUGUAACAGUAUAAAAUUAUUCUAAAUCAAGAACUGAAACCAUUGGACCACCGUAAACUUCGUGAAUUUACUGGUUUUGUCUUGGAACAAGUUGAAAACGAUAACAAUUUUUUUAAGAAAAUCAUUUACAAAACUGUCGAUUCUGGUGCGAAGAAAAUCUACAAAUUAUUCAUGAACAACCAUUACAUUUACCUAAAUUGACAGUUAGGUUUGGUAUUUGGUUUGGUGGGAUCAUCGACCCGUACAUAUUUCUAAAUGAAGCUCUGGUGACACCGUUACUGUCAAUGGAAAGCUGAUAGCUAAAAUUAUGAGAUUAUGUAGUAUUUAAUGAAGAUGAUGUUAAAUUAAGUAUUCAUCAAGCAUUGUGAAUAUGAAGGAAAUGCCAGAAAAUAUGCUUUCUUAUUAGACUAAUAAUUUCCCCCUUAUAUGCUACAAUUACCAAUUGAUAUCUGUUAUGUAUAUCUGUAUCUGCAGCAAACAAGCUAAAAACUUUAUAAAAAGGAAGUUUGAUAUAUCUCAUGUUUAUAUAAUCCAAAAUAUGUUAACAGUUUAACUUCACCCAUCAUAAAAUUAUUCAUUAUUAAGUCCAGAGUUGUCUAUUGCCUAACAAGUGAUAUAAAUCUAACUUUUAAGAGGUAUCCAUGUACUCAUGAAAUGGAUAUCACUGCAGUUUUCAUAUGCAAAUUGUUUGACAAGAGAGCAAAUUUUAAACAUAACGAGCAGAGAAAUGGCGAAGCGAGGAUGUCAUUGAUGUGAUAAUUAUUCGAGUUAA